This 497-nucleotide ribosomal RNA is filed under the name uncultured bacterium. RNAcentral describes it as "partial 16S ribosomal RNA". It matches the Rfam family "Bacterial small subunit ribosomal RNA", at positions 28 to 507 of the family's 1533-position model. The record is from RNAcentral.
GAUGAACGCUGGCGGCGUGCCUAAUACAUGCAAGUCGAGCGAACAGACGAGGAGCUUGCUCCUCUGACGUUAGCGGCGGACGGGUGAGUAACACGUGGAUAACCUACCUAUAAGACUGGGAUAACUUCGGGAAAACGGAGCUAAAACCGGAUCAUAUAUUGAACCGCAAGGUUCAAUAGUGAAAGACGGUUUUGCUGUCCCUUAUAGAUGGAUCCGCGCCGCAUUAGCUAGUUGGUAAGGUAACGGCUUACCAAGGCAACGAUGCGUAGCCGACCUAAGAGGGUGAUCGGCCACACUGGAACUGAGGCACGUUCCAGACUCCUAGGGGAGGCAGCGGUAGGGAAUCUUCCGCGAUGGGCGAAGGCCUGACGGAGCAACGCCGCGUGAGUGAUGAAGGUCUUCGGAUCGUAAAACUCUGUUAUUAGGGAAGAACAAAUGUGUAAGUAACUAUGCACGUCUUGACGGUACCUAAUCAGAAAGCCACGGCUAACUACGUG